RNAcentral lists this long non-coding RNA (342 nucleotides) under Felis catus (domestic cat). RNAcentral describes it as "lncRNA (ENSFCAG00000050297.1)". The record is from RNAcentral. Lineage: Eukaryota; Metazoa; Chordata; Mammalia; Carnivora; Felidae.
AUUCAGAAAAGCGGAUGUCUGCCAGUUACCCAGAGGAUAACUUCAGGUUCCUGAGAAACUUACCUGUAAGCCCAUGUAGGUGGCAGAAGACAUCAAGUAAAUGUCAAAUGAAGAGCCAAUUUUGAUUGCUCAGGCAGUGCCUCUCUAGACACCAGGAUGUGUAUGUGGAAAGAAAGUAGCCCAAUGGGGCAGAGAUCCUUUUUAGACCCUUUGCUUUUCAUAACCACAGAGGUACUUAAACUUGUGUUAGAGCCUUCUUUCCUGCGUGGCAUCUCACAGUGUCGACAGUACAGUGAAAAUGAGUGAGUACAAAGAAUACACAUCUCAUCUACAGAAUAUCCC